Molecule: long non-coding RNA, 759 nt
Filed under: Trifolium pratense (red clover)
Lineage: Eukaryota; Viridiplantae; Streptophyta; Magnoliopsida; Fabales; Fabaceae
Description: long non-coding RNA (TPRA_LNC006020)
Source: RNAcentral
UUUUUGCAUUACCUAUUCCUCUGUGUUGUUCCAAAUAUAAAUAAUAAACAUAAAGAAGAAGAAGAAACAGAGUAAUCAAAUAGAAAUAGAGUGAAAGAUAAAAAAAACUUGAAAGAAACAAAUAAAACAAGAUAUGAAAAGGAAGAGAAAAGAAAAUUGUAGAUGUGCACUUCAAUCAAUGUAUAAUCAUAAAGAAUAAUAAGAAGAAGAAGAAGAAGAAGGAAUAGAAGUUGAGUUUUAGAACAAGGAUGACUGCAAUUGUAGAUCCUGAUGAGUGAUGAAUGAUACUGCUGAUUUGUUUUGGAAAAUUAGAAUACGGCUGCUUAACUUUAUUUUCACUUUUGCAAACUUAGGGUUACUUAUGUGAACAAGUGGGCUUGGGUUGUUAGGUCAAUCAUAUACACAAACCAAAACUACUUUUCUUUUUAAUUUACUACCUAUAAAAAAAAAACUUUUCUUUUUUACUUACCCAAAUAAAAAUAGUAAAUUACAAAAUAUUAUACUAUAACAAGAUUGUCAAAUAAAAUAUAUAUUUUUUAUUUGAUUAUAUAUUUACUUUAUGACAUUUUAUGUUUUUAAUGUGUGAAAUUAGGGAAUAUUGAGUCAUUAUUUAUAUAUUUUUAUUUAUAUAUUAAAUAAAAUAUAUAUUUAAUUAAAAACGGUCCGACCCCGGCUGAACCCGGUCCGACCAGUUGAACCUUGAACCGGUGAGCUCGCCGGUUCGAUGACCGGUCCGGUUCUGACAACCUUGAUUCUAAC